GAUAAACGCUGGCGGCGUGCCUGAGAUAUGCAAGUCGAGCGGGAUUUACAUGCAGCACACAGAAACACAAAUGUCUAAUCGUUCAAUUUCAACGCAUCGUUGAUAUGAGCGAUUGAUUCUUUGCUUUUUGCGUGCUGUGUGUGAGUUCAGCGGCGGACGGCUGAGUAACACGUAAGAAUCUUCCCCAGAGUCUCACAUAGCUCACCGAAAGGUGGGGUAAUUUGAGAUGGUCUGAACCGAUUUAUCGGUUUUGUAAAGCCGCAAGGCGCUUUGGGAUGAGCUUGCGUCCUAUCAGGUAGUUGGUGAGGUAAUGGCUCACCAAGCCUACGACGGGUAGCUGGCCUCAUGAGGGUGGUCAGCCAGAGGGGGACUGAGACACGGCCCCCACUCCUACGGGAGGCAGCAAUCAGGAAUAGUCGGCAAUGGACGAAAGUCUGACCGCGCGACGCCGCGUGUAGGAUGAAGCUUCACAAGAGUGUAAACUACUGUGGUAGGGGAAGAGAAAGGACGGUACCCUACUAGAAAGCAGCCGCUAACUGCGUGCCAGAAGCGUCGGUAAUACGUGGGCUGCGAGCGUUAUCCGGUGUCAUUGGGCGUAAAGAGUCGUGUAGGUGGAUUCAUAAGUCACUUUUUAAAUCUCUGGGCUUAACUCAGAAACUUGAGGUGAUACUGUGAGUCUUUGAGGUUCCUUUAGGGAGAACGGAAUUGUGGGAGGAGUAGUGAAAUGCGUUGAUACCCACGAGAACUCCAGUGGCGAAGGCGGUUCUCUGGAAGGAUCCUGACACUGAGACACGAAAGUUAGGGGAGCGAAGCAGAUUAGAGACCUGCGUAGUCCUAACUGUAAACGAAUGUAUGCUAGCUGCAUGAAGUCAGUACAUAGUUUUUGAUGUACUUUUUCUCUAGAAUAUAGUACCUAGGAAAAAGAGUCAUGAGAACUGCGUACUGAUUUCGUGUGGCGAAGGUAACCCGUUAAGCAUACCGCCUGGGGAGUACGGCCGCAAGGUUGAAACUCAAAGGAAUUGGCGGGGAGGCACACAACCAGAGGAACAUGUGGUUUAAUUCGACACAAAACGAAGAACCUUACCAAGGCUUGACAUGCUAGCGUUCUAUUUCCUGGAAACAGGAGAAAUCCGCAAGGAGGCUAGCACCGGUGAUGCAUGGCUGUCGUCAGUUCGUUCCGUGAGGAGUGCCCUUAAGUGGGACAACGAACGCAACCCCUGUCGUCUGUUACAAGUGUCAGAUGAUACUGCCCUACAGUUUUGUGGGGAGGAAGGCGGGGCAGACGUCAAGUCAGCACGUCCCUUAUGUCUUGGGCUACACACAUGUUACAAUGGACCACAACAAUGAGUAUUGCAAGCCAGCGAUGGCAAGCUAAUCUCACAAAUUGGUCCUCAGUGGGGAUUGGAGUCUGCAACUCGACUCCAUGAACUUGGAUUUGGUAGUAAUCGCGGGUCAGCUAUACCGCGGUGAAUACGUUCUUGCCUCUUGCACACACCGCCCGUCAAACCAACAAAGUCGGAGAUAUAUGAACUGCGGCGCAUGCCGUGGGAGUAUGUAGUCGGCGAUGAGGGUU
RNAcentral lists this ribosomal RNA (1573 nucleotides) under uncultured bacterium. RNAcentral's name for it is "bacterial SSU rRNA". It matches the Rfam family "Bacterial small subunit ribosomal RNA". The record is from RNAcentral.